This 124-nucleotide non-coding RNA is filed under the name Paucilactobacillus wasatchensis. RNAcentral's name for it is "Lactobacillus wasatchensis FMN sequence". It matches the Rfam family "FMN riboswitch aptamer (RFN element)". From Rfam's summary of the family: The RFN element is a highly conserved domain that is found frequently in the 5'-untranslated regions of prokaryotic mRNAs that encode for flavin mononucleotide (FMN) biosynthesis and transport proteins. Lineage: Bacteria; Bacillati; Bacillota; Bacilli; Lactobacillales; Lactobacillaceae. The record is from Rfam by way of RNAcentral.
GUUCGUCUUCAGGGCAGGGUGUAAUUCCCGACCGGCGGUGAUAGCCCGCGACCUGCUGAAUAAGCAGCUGAAUCUGGUGGAAUCCCAGGUGCCGACAGUAUAGUCUGGUAUAAAGAAGAUUUUC